GCUCAAAACAGCGUGUUAACAGCGUCACUUUUUCACUUUCACAACAGUGGAGAUGAUCGUGGACUUCAGGAGAAACCCCCCUGCUCUCCCCCCACUAACCAUCAUGAACAGCACUGUGACUGCAGUGGAGUACACACACACACGCACAAAACUCCGCAUUUGAACAGUCAAUAGCAAAUACUUAAUCUAAUAAAAAAACAUACUUACAGUAGCUGAUUCAGAAGCAUCAGAUUGUCGUAGCAAAGUCAGAAUUACCUCCUCUCCUAGGUUCACGAAACGGUCGUCCAUAAAAUGCGUUGCUGUUCUGUUGUAAGUAAUCUUAAAGAUUCCUAAAUCCAUCUACUUUCCGAAAGAAGAAAUAAAGUGCUUUUGCUUUCACCUAGAAACACACAGCAUCUCCCUGACAUGACCAAGUAGGUAUGGCUGCAGCCCGGAGACCUCCAAGUGGGAGGAGCUUUAGCCGCAAGUGGGCUGGAUUUCAGAAAUGGGCGGGGUUUACGCAGAAAUCCCACAUGAGCUGUGUCCCAAACUUAAGUGCAUGGACUCCGGAGUGCGCAUUUGAAGUGCGAAUGCGUCACAGUGGCGCGACGAAGGGUGUCCCAAACUGAAGUGUGUGGACUCUGAAGUGCGGAUGUGAAGUGCGAUUGCGUCACAGCGUCACGACGUAAGCUGUCCCAAAGUCAGAAUGCGCACUUCGAAGACCGCAUUUGAAGUGCGAAUGCGUCACCGCGGCGCGACGAAGGCUGACGAAUUUCGAAAGCGACUUCAAAUGCGCCCUUCAUUUCCCAUGAAAAUGAAGUGUACAUCUAAUGGACACUUCGCACCCUACCAUAUCCCAGAAUCACUUGCGUGCAUAUGACGAAGGUGUUUAUAUUCAGAGGCAGGUGAGAGUUCUGUGGAGGACUUCACAUUGAAAUGCAUGGUUUAUUUGUGAAGUGUCCUGAGACAGGUGAGGGAGCGAGUGGACAGGGAGGACGUCAAACUCAAACCAAUACAUUCUUCAUUAGCCAAGAGAAAACCGUGGGAAAAAAUGAGUACAUUACAGUUUUUCCAAUAUAUUUUUUAAAUGUCAUAUUGUUAAUGAAACAACCUAAUUUCUGUAGUUUAUUUUUGUGACGCAAGUUAAAAAUGAAAUGCAUAAAUUGUAUACAUUAUUCAUUUUUUGUGUGUAAUUCGUAAAUAAGCCUGAGUACUUUCUGUACAUUUUGUAUUUUUGUUUUGCAUAUUCACAUGUGUAAAUAAAAGAAAAGUGCUUAUGUACA
This is a long non-coding RNA of Cyprinus carpio (common carp), 1262 nucleotides long. The record is from Ensembl. Lineage: Eukaryota; Metazoa; Chordata; Actinopteri; Cypriniformes; Cyprinidae.